Molecule: ribosomal RNA, 657 nt
Filed under: uncultured fungus
Lineage: Eukaryota; Fungi
Description: eukaryotic LSU rRNA
Rfam family: Eukaryotic large subunit ribosomal RNA (bases 71-657)
Source: RNAcentral
GUAGUAACUUUACGUCUCGCACUGGGAUCCGGAGGGACUCUUGCCGUAAAACCCCCAAUUUUCCAAAGGUUGACCUCGGAUCAGGUAGGAAUACCCGCUGAACUUAAGCAUAUCAAUAAGCGGAGGAAAAGAAACCAACAGGGAUUGCCUCAGUAACGGCGAGUGAAGCGGCAACAGCUCAAAUUUGAAAUCUGGCCCUAGGCCCGAGUUGUAAUUUGCAGAGGAUGCUUUUGGUGCGGUGCCUUCCAAGUUCCCUAGAACGGGACGCCAGAGAGGGUGAGAGCCCCGUACAGUUGGACACCAAGCCUUUGUAAAGCUCCUUCGACGAGUCGAGUAGUUUGGGAAUGCUGCUCAAAAUGGGAGGUAUAUUUCUUCUAAAGCUAAAUACCGGCCAGAGACCGAUAGCGCACAAGUAGAGUGAUCGAAAGAUGAAAAGCACUUUGAAAAGAGGGUUAAACAGCACGUGAAAUUGUUAAAAGGGAAGCGCUUGUGACCAGACUUGCGUCCGGUGAAUCACCCAGCUCUCGCGGCUGGGGCACUUCGCCGGCUCAGGCCAGCAUCAGCUCGCUGUCGGGGACAAAAGCUUCAGGAACGUAGCUCUCUUCGGGGAGUGUUAUAGCCUGUUGCAUAAUACCCUUCGGCGGGCUGAGGUACGCG